This 468-nucleotide ribosomal RNA is filed under the name uncultured bacterium. RNAcentral describes it as "partial 16S ribosomal RNA". It matches the Rfam family "Bacterial small subunit ribosomal RNA", at positions 28 to 507 of the family's 1533-position model. The record is from RNAcentral.
GACGAACGCUGGCGGCGCGCUUAACACAUGCCAGUCGAACGGAAAGGCCCUGCUUUUGUGGGGUGCUCGAGUGGCGAACGGGUGAGUAACACGUGAGUAACCUGCCCUUGACUUUGGGAUAACUUCAGGAAACUGGGGCUAAUACCGGAUAGGAGCUCCUGCUGCAUGGUGGGGGUUGGAAAGUUUCGGCGGUUGGGGAUGGACUCGCGGCUUAUCAGCUUGUUGGUGGGGUAGUGGCUUACCAAGGCUUUGACGGGUAGCCGGCCUGAGAGGGUGACCGGCCACAUUGGGACUGAGAUACGGCCCAGACUCCUACGGGAGGCAGCAGUGGGGAAUAUUGCACAAUGGGCGGAAGCCUGAUGCAGCAACGCCGCGUGCGGGAUGACGGCCUUCGGGUUGUAAACCGCUUUCGCCUGUGACGAAGCGUGAGUGACGGUAAUGUGUAAAGAAGCACCGGCUAACUACGUG